UAAUAUGCACAAUUCAAAUGACUUUGACU
RNAcentral lists this non-coding RNA (29 nucleotides) under Mus musculus (house mouse). Lineage: Eukaryota; Metazoa; Chordata; Mammalia; Rodentia; Muridae. The record is from RNAcentral.